CAAAGGUUUGGUCCUAGCCUUUUUAUUGAUACCUAGUAGACUUACACAUGCAAAUUUCCCUGCCCCAGUGAGAAUGCCCUCUAUAUCAAAUUGAUCUAAAGGAGCGGGUAUCAAGCUCACUAUUCAGUUGCUCAUAACGCCUUGCUCAACCACACCCCCACGGGACACAGCAGUGAUUAAGAUUAAGCCCAUGAACGAAAGUUCGACUAAGUCCUACUAAUAUUAGGGUUGGUAAAUUUCGUGCCAGCCACCGCGGUCAUACGAUUAACCCUAGUCAAUAAAGCACGGCGUAAAGCGUGAUUAGAAAAAAAAACUAAAUAAGACUAAGCCCAGACUAAGCUGUAAAAAGCCCUAGUUAUAGUUAAAAUAGCUAAACGAAAGUAGUCUUAAAACCUUUGAACUCACGAUAGCUAAGACCCAAACUGGGAUUAGAUACCCCACUAUGCUUAGCCCUAAACAUAGACACUCAAAUAACAAGACUGUCCGCCAGAGUACUACUAGCUACAGCUUAAAACUCAAAGGACUUGGCGGUGCUUUACAUCCCUCUAGAGGAGCCUGUUCUAUAAUCGAUAAACCCCGAUAUACCUUACCACCCUUUGCAAUUAUCAGCCUAUAUACCGCCAUCUUCAGCAAACCUUAACAAAGCCUCAUAGUAAGCGCAAUAAUAGGGCAUAAAUACGUUAGGUCAAGGUGUAGCCUAUAGGGUGGAAAGAAAUGGGCUACAUUUUCUAAAAUAAUAGAACNAUNNUUCUUACGAUAGCUUUUAUGAAAUUAAAAGCCGAAGGCGGAUUUAGUAGUAAGUUAGGAAUAGAGAGCCUAGCUGAAUUGGGCAAUAAAGCACGCACACACCGCCCGUCACCCUCUUCAAGUACUACAGACAGACNNNNNNNNNNNNNNNNNNNNNNNUCAAUAGCACAAGAAGAGACAAGUCGUAACAAGGUAAGCAUACUGGAAAGUGUGCUUGGAAUAAU
This 971-nucleotide non-coding RNA is filed under the name Sundasciurus lowii (Low's squirrel). RNAcentral describes it as "12S ribosomal RNA". It matches the Rfam family "Bacterial small subunit ribosomal RNA". The record is from RNAcentral. Lineage: Eukaryota; Metazoa; Chordata; Mammalia; Rodentia; Sciuridae.